Molecule: small nuclear RNA, 102 nt
Filed under: Castor canadensis (American beaver)
Lineage: Eukaryota; Metazoa; Chordata; Mammalia; Rodentia; Castoridae
Source: RNAcentral
GUACUCACUUCAGCAGCACAUAUACUAAAACUAGAACCAUACAGAGCAUGGCCCCUGUACAAGGAUGAUACACAAGUAUCAAUCCUUGUGUUCAAUAUUUUU